This 253-nucleotide ribosomal RNA is filed under the name uncultured bacterium. Its description in RNAcentral is "partial 16S ribosomal RNA". It matches the Rfam family "Bacterial small subunit ribosomal RNA", at positions 524 to 776 of the family's 1533-position model. The record is from RNAcentral.
UACGGGGGGGGCAAGCGUUGUUCGGAAUUACUGGGCGUAAAGGGUCUGUAGGUGGCUUGCUAAGUCAGACGUGAAAUCCCCAGGCUCAACCUGGGAACUGCGUCUGAUACUGGAUGGCUUGAAUUCGGGAGAGGGAUGCAGAAUUCCAGGUGUAGCGGUGAAAUGCGUAGAUAUCUGGAGGAAUACCGGUGGCGAAGGCGGCAUCCUGGACCGACAUUGACGCUGAGGAGCGAAAGCUAGGGGAGCAAACGGG